GCAGUAGCCGCGGUAAUACGUAGGGUGCAAGCGUUAAUCGGAAUUACUGGGCGUAAAGCGUGCGCAGGCGGUUCGUUAAGACAGAUGUGGAAUCCCCGGGCUUAACCUGGGAACUGCAUUUGUGACUGGCGAGCUAGAGUAUGGCAGAGGGGGGUAGAAUUCCACGUGUAGCAGUGAAAUGCGUAGAGAUGUGGAGGAAUACCGAUGGCGAAGGCAGCCCCCUGGGCCAAUACUGACGCUCAUGCACGAAAGCGUGGGGAGCAAACAGGAUUAGAGACCCGCGUAGUCCCUGUCUCUUAUAC
This 302-nucleotide ribosomal RNA is filed under the name uncultured bacterium. RNAcentral's name for it is "partial 16S ribosomal RNA". It matches the Rfam family "Bacterial small subunit ribosomal RNA", at positions 508 to 807 of the family's 1533-position model. The record is from RNAcentral.